CCUGGUGGCUCAGACGGUAAAGCGUCUGCCUAAAAUGCAGGAGACCCGGGUUCAAUUCCUGGGUCAGGA
Molecule: transfer RNA, 69 nt
Filed under: Bos taurus (domestic cattle)
Lineage: Eukaryota; Metazoa; Chordata; Mammalia; Artiodactyla; Bovidae
Also listed under: 1 other name
Rfam family: tRNA
About the family: Transfer RNA (tRNA) molecules are approximately 80 nucleotides in length. Their secondary structure includes four short double-helical elements and three loops (D, anti-codon, and T loops). Further hydrogen bonds mediate the characteristic L-shaped molecular structure. tRNAs have two regions of fundamental functional importance: the anti-codon, which is responsible for specific mRNA codon recognition, and the 3' end, to which the tRNAs corresponding amino acid is attached (by aminoacyl-tRNA synthetases). tRNAs cope with the degeneracy of the genetic code in two manners: having more than one tRNA (with a specific anti-codon) for a particular amino acid; and 'wobble' base-pairing, i.e. permitting non-standard base-pairing at the 3rd anti-codon position.
Source: Rfam by way of RNAcentral